Long non-coding RNA from Ictalurus punctatus (channel catfish), 1966 nucleotides. The record is from Ensembl. Lineage: Eukaryota; Metazoa; Chordata; Actinopteri; Siluriformes; Ictaluridae.
AAAACCCUCCAAAAAUCACCGACAUGAUAUCUAAUCAUUCUUCAUCUCACGUCAAUCGUCACUGAAAUAACACCAACGUGAACCCGAGAAAAAACCCAAAAAAACACUUUAUUCUAUAAAAGGCGUAGAGAAUCACGACUGUACAGGGGAAACUGACUUUUAACACCAUUUCUCACAGUAUCAAAAAGCUUGUGUUCGCCUCACUGAUCUUUACACAUUUGUUCUGUACAAAUACAAAAGAAAUAACAUUAAUUACUUGUAUUAUUAUCAGGAUAACUGCAUUGCACUGAGUAAUAUAGUACUGGCCCAUAAGUUACUGCAUUCAAUAUAAAAUACCUAUGAUUCCGACCUUGAAAAACAAAACAAAAACAAACAAACAGGGAAAGAAAAAAAAAGAGAGAGAGAGAGAGGAAAAACACGCUCGCGUACACUCGCGCAAAGCAAACCCGAUAUAUGUGUGUUUGUUGAACUCAAACUGAAAAUGAGUAAACAUGCUUGAAAAAGAUGUUCAGUUCAGUCACGAGACAUAAAAUACAAGUGAAGGUCAUAAAAUGGGUCGGUUUGGAAAUAAAAUUCAUCUACAAGAGUUCCUACUGGAGGUUCCUGAUGGCAUUUCGGUCGCACGGAACCGAGACGACGCACAUUUCAUUUGAUCAAAGGGUCGUUCUGAGUACUGUGCCUAUUUAUAAACAGAGCGUCACUAAAGUCAGGUAGUAGCUGUUUUUUUUUUUUUGUUGUUGUUGUUUUUUUUUGUGUGUUUUUUUUUUUUUUGCUUUUUUUUUUUUUUAAACGUGCAAAGAAUGGCUUUAAUUGCACAGGAAAUGCCACGCCGUAUCAGAGAUGGAUCAUCAGUGCUUACAGGCCACCGUCAGGUCACCGACAUGCUCAGCGACUUCACAAAGAAAAUUCUCUCCAUGCAAAACAAAACAAAACAAAAAAAAAGUUACAACACAUCCGAUUAAAAAGGGAUUUUUUUUUCCCUUUAGAAAAAAAAAACAAAACAAAACAAAAAAAAAACAACACAUUGUUGAGCCAACAAAGGGAAAAAGAAAGAAAUUUUUUUUUUUCACAUUGUCUAGUCAGUGUUAAAAAUAGAAAUCCACCCGUUACGUUUAUUCAGAACUUUGAUUAUAUACAAUAUUUACAUGUAUUCGUUAAUUAUUUAUAAUUGUCUGUAUGCCUAUGAACAGUUUAUUUAUUUAAAAAAAAAAAGGAUCGCAAUCGAAUGCAUAUACUUUUCUACAAAGAUGUGCUUAGGUUUAGAGUUGAAGCAAAGAGAAUAGGACUGAGAAUAGAUCUGACGUCUGAAGAUUGCACUGGAUCAAAGAUUAUUUUAAUUUGUUUCUAUUUAUUUAUUUAUUUGAACCCCUCCCCCCACCCCACCGAACAUGCAGUCAACUCUUGAAGGCUGGAAUCCAACACGCUGCGUUUAGCUUCCACAAACAAAAUAAAAGGCCUGACGCGUACGUCUUCGUAAUCUGCUAGCUGUUGAAACGACGACCGCGACGACACGCGCUAGCGUGACGGGAUAGGGACGAGGUCGAAUAAAUCGUCCUCUCUGAACGGGACUGUGCUCUACGAUUUUUAAUCCGAUAAUCGCCACGGAGGUCGAGGGGAAGGUCCGGGUCUCACUUUUGCAUAGUCGAGUGAAACCAGGGCUGGAGCUAAAACUGUUCCUUUAAGAAAUGGUUGUUUGUUUUUUCGAUGUUGUCUUUUUUUUCUUUUUUUUUUGCCUUACUUUACUAGGGGUCCCAACCCAGAACCCUGAGGAACUCCGCCAAACCAGAUGCGCAAAAUACACGAGUUGCACAUUUACUUCAAUUAAGGCUCUGAUGGGCGUGAACAAUAUGUGCCUAGAACACACACCUCUACUAUUAAAACUCUGAUUAGGUUUCAUAGAAAAACACACACACACACACUCACGGUUAUCAAGCGCCCGUAUUUCCUAUCCUAACCCCAUUUGGAU